GACGAACGCUGGCGGCGUGCUUAACACAUGCAAGUCGAACGGAAAGGCCCUGCUUUUGUGGGGUGCUCGAGUGGCGAACGGGUGAGUAACACGUGAGUAACCUGCCCUUGACUUUGGGAUAACUUCAGGAAACUGGGGCUAAUACCGGAUAGGAGCUCCUGCUGCAUGGUGGGGGUUGGAAAGAUUCGGCGGUUGGGGAUGGACUCGCGGCUUAUCAGCUUGUUGGUGGGGUAGUGGCUUACCAAGGCUUUGACGGGUAGCCGGCCUGGGAGGGUGACCGGCCACAUUGGGACUUGGGUACGGCCCAGACUCCUACGGGAGGCAACAGUGGGGAAUAUUGCACAAUGGGCGGAAGCCUGAUACAGCAACGCCGCGUGCGGGAUGACGGCCUUCGGGUUAUAAACCGCUUUCGCCUGUGACGAAGCGUGAGUGACGGUAAUGGGUAAAGAAGCACCGGCUAACUACGUG
This 468-nucleotide ribosomal RNA is filed under the name uncultured bacterium. Its description in RNAcentral is "partial 16S ribosomal RNA". It matches the Rfam family "Bacterial small subunit ribosomal RNA", at positions 28 to 507 of the family's 1533-position model. The record is from RNAcentral.